Molecule: ribosomal RNA, 253 nt
Filed under: uncultured bacterium
Lineage: Bacteria
Description: partial 16S ribosomal RNA
Rfam family: Bacterial small subunit ribosomal RNA
Source: RNAcentral
UACAGAGGUCUCAAGCGUUGUUCGGAUUCAUUGGGCGUAAAGGGCGCGUAGGCGGCGGGGUAAGUCGGGUGUGAAAUCUCAGAGCUCAACUCUGAAACUGCACUCGAUACUGCUCUGCUUGAGGACUGGAGAGGAGACUGGAAUUCACGGUGUAGCAGUGAAAUGCGUAGAUAUCGUGAGGAAGACCAGUGGCGAAGGCGAGUCUCUGGACAGUUCCUGACGCUGAGGCACGAAGGCCAGGGGAGCAAACGGG